CACUAACACAUGCAAGUCGAACGGUAACAGUUACUAGCUUGCUCUUAAGAUGACGAGUGGCGGACGGGUGAGUAAUGCUUGGGAACUUGCCUUUGCGAGGGGGAUAACAGUUGGAAACGACUGCUAAUACCGCAUAAUGUCUUCGGACCAAACGGGGCUUCGGCUCCGGCGCAAAGAGAGGCCCAAGUGAGAUUAGCUAGUUGGUAAGGUAACGGCUUACCAAGGCGACGAUCUCUAGCUGUUCUGAGAGGAAGAUCAGCCACACUGGGACUGAGACACGGCCCAGACUCCUACGGGAGGCAGCAGUGGGGAAUAUUGCACAAUGGGGGAAACCCUGAUGCAGCCAUGCCGCGUGUGUGAAGAAGGCCUUCGGGUUGUAAAGCACUUUCAGUUGUGAGGAAAAGUUAGUAGUUAAUACCUGCUAGCCGUGACGUUAACAACAGAAGAAGCACCGGCUAACUCCGUGCCAGCAGCCGCGGUAAUACGGAGGGUGCGAGCGUUAAUCGGAAUUACUGGGCGUAAAGCGCACGCAGGCGGUUUGUUAAGCUAGAUGUGAAAGCCCCGGGCUCAACCUGGGAUGGUCAUUUAGAACUGGCAGACUAGAGUCUUGGAGAGGGGAGUGGAAUUCCAGGUGUAGCGGUGAAAUGCGUAGAUAUCUGGAGGAACAUCAGUGGCGAAGGCGACUCCCCUGGCCAAAGACUGACGCU
Molecule: ribosomal RNA, 707 nt
Filed under: Pseudoalteromonas sp. F497
Lineage: Bacteria; Pseudomonadati; Pseudomonadota; Gammaproteobacteria; Alteromonadales; Pseudoalteromonadaceae
Description: bacterial SSU rRNA
Rfam family: Bacterial small subunit ribosomal RNA
Source: RNAcentral